Molecule: transfer RNA, 74 nt
Filed under: Bauldia sp.
Lineage: Bacteria; Pseudomonadati; Pseudomonadota; Alphaproteobacteria; Hyphomicrobiales; Kaistiaceae
Description: tRNA-Thr
Rfam family: tRNA
About the family: Transfer RNA (tRNA) molecules are approximately 80 nucleotides in length. Their secondary structure includes four short double-helical elements and three loops (D, anti-codon, and T loops).
Source: RNAcentral
GGACCGGUAGCUCAGCGGUAGAGCGGACGAGGCGUAAUCGUCGGGUCGGCAGGUUCGACUCCUGCCCCGGUCCU